Mirounga angustirostris (Northern elephant seal) is the source of this 6431-nucleotide RNA transcript. It is a transcript of the gene named zinc finger protein 211-like, with no coding region annotated. The transcript has 5 exons. The record is from RefSeq and is a predicted model, not a curated record. NCBI's taxonomy places the organism in Eukaryota, Metazoa, Chordata, Mammalia, Carnivora, Phocidae.
ACGAGAGGAGGCUUUGUCCCCACUGUAGGGAGGCGGGUCUAGGGUCGGGGGUAUCGCCGCCUGCGAGGACCGCCUGGAGACCUCGGUGCCCGCGACUGCCCGGGUCGCUCAGCUGUCAUCACCUCACUCCGCCCAGAGGCUCCGAUGGCGGCGGCCGCGCGCAGGGACCCGGCUCCGGUUUCCAUGGUUGCAGAAGUGCUUUUGGAACCUACACAGGGAAGUGUGACUUUUGAGGACGUGGCCCUAUAUUUCUCCUGGGAGGAAUGGGAUCUCCUAGAUGAGGCUCAGAGAUGCCUGUACCAUGAUGUGAUGCUGGAGAACUUUGCACUCACAUCCUCACUAGGUUGUUGGCAUGGAGUGGAGGAUGAGGAUGCACCUUCUGAAGAGAGCAUUUCUAUAGGAGUGUCACAGAUUGGGGCUCUCAAGGCAGUUUCAUCUUUCCAGAAGGCCCAGCCCUUUGAACUGCAUGGCCCAAUCUUGAGAAACAUUUUGUACUUGGCUGAGCACCAGGAAACAUAUCUUGGGGAAGAACCAUAUACAUGUAGGAAACAAUUCUGUUUAACUGCCAAUCUUCAACAGUUCCAGGGGCAGCACACUAGAGAGAUACCCUUCAGAAGUUAUGUGGACAGAGCCUCCUUUAUAAAGAACUGUACAGUCCACGUGUCAGGGAAGCCCUUUACCUGUGAGGAGACACGGAAGGACUUCUUAGCCAGCGUGGGAUUUCUCCAACAACAGGUCACUCACACUGGGAGGAACCCGAACAAUGAGUGUGAGGCUGUCUUUCACAGUGGUAGAAGUCAUCACAACUGUGGAGAAUGCAAGAAAGCCUUCAGCUACACAGACACACUUGCUCAGGACCAGAGAGUUGUCACUAGAGAAGGAAUUUAUGAGUGUGGCAAAUGUGGAAAAGCCUGUACCCGAAGAUGUAACCUCAUUCAACACCAGAAAGUCCACACUGGAGAAAGACCUUACGAAUGCAGUGAAUGUGGAAAAUUCUUCACCUAUUAUUCCAGUUUCAUUAUACAUCAGAGAGUUCACACUGGAGAAAGGCCCUAUGAGUGCAAUGAAUGUGGGAAAUCCUUUAGCCAAAGCUACAGCCUCAAUAGCCAUAGGAAAGUUCACACUGGAGAGAAGCCUUAUGAGUGCAGGGAAUGUGGAAAAUCUUUCAGCCAAAGGUCCAACCUCAUUCAACAUCAGAGAGUUCACACUGGAGAAAGGCCUUAUGAGUGCAGUGAAUGUGGGAAGUCCUUUAGCCAAAACUUCAGUCUCAUUUACCACAGGAGAGUUCACACAGGAGAAAGGCCUCAUCAGUGCAGUGAAUGUGGGAAAUCCUUCAGCCGAAGCUCCAGCCUCAUUCACCACAGGAGACUUCACACUGGAGAAAGGCCUUAUGAGUGCAGUAAAUGUGGGAAAUCCUUUAAGCAAAGCUCCAGCUUCAGUUCACAUCGGAAAGUCCACACAGGGGAAAGGCCUUAUGAGUGUGGGGAAUGUGGAAAAUCCUUUAGCCAUAGCUCCAACCUCAAGAACCACUGGAGAGUUCACACUGGAGAAAGGCCUAUUGAGUGCAGUGAGUGUGGAAAGUCCUUUAGCUGCAAAUCUAACCUCGUUAAACACCUGAGAGUUCACACUGGAGAAAGGCCUUAUGAGUGUGGGGAAUGUGGAAAAUCCUUUAGCCAAAGCUCCAGCCUCAUUCAACAUCGGAGAGUUCACACUGGAAAGAGGCCUACUGAGUGCAGAGAAUGUGGGAAAUCCUUUAGCUCCAAAUCUGACCUCAUUCAACACCAGAGACUUCAUACUAGAGAAAGGCCUUAGAUGUACAGGGCUGUGCAGUUUCCUUUUAGAUAAUUACACUGGAGGAGAGAUGUUGUGAGGAAGCCAUCUACCUAAAUUUAAGCCUGUACAUGUUAAAAUCCACAAUGGGGAGAUCUCCCUUUAGUUGAAGUAUGUGUGAAUCUAUAACUGUCUAGGGAUCUUGCCUGAUUUAUGUCACUACCAGUUUCCGUGGAAGAGUUUUGUCACCUCUACCACUCAGCACGUUCAUACAGUGUGCAUUAGUACAUUAGUUAACCACCACAAUGUGCUCAGGGAAGCUGCCUCUUUCCCUCCCCUUCUGCUGGAGGAAAUCAUGAUUAUUCUUAGCCCUUAUAGGGUCUUCAUUCUCUUCUCAUGUAGAAGUUAGGGCAUGGCCCAGUGGACCCAAUCUGAGUUCUGCUGGUAACUUGCCAAGAAGGACCGCAUUUUCACGGAUGUGUUAGUUUUGUGCGACACUCCUCUUGGAUUUUCCUAUCCUCCAAGUCACCAACCUGGGAUCUCCCUGCCUCAUAUUGCUUUGGAUUUUAUAGUAAUAAAGACAUUAUUGUUGGGGUUCUAUUCACUGUGUGAGGUGAUUUGAAAAUGGCUGGGCUCUGCCAGCAUAAAGGAGUGAACAGCUUUGCUGGGGUUCCCAAUGCUUUGUGUGCCUCAGAGAUGACAGUCUGAUGAAAGAAAAUAGCUCUCUUUCCAGCUUUGGCCUAAUUUACAUGGUUGCCUGAGGUCUCCUAGGAAAGACUGCAGGGCCUUGUCCUAAUUUAUGGACUGGGUAUCAGAAUUUUUUUGUGGGCUCAGAGAACACUCCGAAGAGUCAGGAAGUUGUGACAACCUCCAGUGCUUCUGAGAACUACACGAAUUGUUUUUCUUUCACAGUGGAUGUCAUAUAAUGCUCAGUAGUGUUGAGGGGAAUCUCUACCCCAUGUCCUGCAAAGGAGCCAUGUGCCCUGAUACCCAGAAUUCUCUAGGCUAGUGUCAUGGUGAGAACACAGGGCCCUGGGGGAACUAUAAUCGGUACAAUAACACUGCAGUGGAGAAGACUGCAGCAAAGUAGAUGGCAUGUGCCCCUUCUAGCAUUGCGUCAACAAAUGCUCCAGUGACUGACUGUGCAGGCUCAGUGUGCCCAGAAACUCUCAGGACCUCCAGCGGGAAUUGCCCAGGACUCGGACCAGGACGCCCAGACACCUCACCUGCCAGACUGUCCAUGGAGCCUGGGACCAAGUAACCCCACCCCGACAUCUCCAUGUGAGGCUCUCCACAUCAUCAGUGUCACCAUAGACCAUCCUGUCCCCUUACCACCAUUGCCAACAAUUCCUCCCCAAGGAGGGAGGAAGCCUAAAUAUGGCUUCUGGGUGACCCCUCCACUCUGUGCCCCCAUACUGAGCUGUCACCCAGUUAUCACCAUCACUAUUAUGGUGUGAGGCCCUGAAAGACUGAGAGUAGCCACUGAGACCCUCACAUAUCCCUGCCCGCAGCUCUUGCAGGAGACCUUAGUGCUUACAGCUCUUCCUCACCAUUGUUAGUAAAUUGCAAAUUGUUCAAACAAUGGCUACUAACCUGCUAGAAAUUUCCCAUCCCUCCUAUAAAGCCCAUAAACCUCCCACCUUCCUCUCCUAACCAGACCAAGGCUUCUCGGCCCUAGGGGCAAGUAUUUCUGUGUAAAGACUUCUAGGUUCCAGCUGGUUUCCCCCCACCAUGUGCCAGUCUUCAAACCUGUGUGAGCCUCCAGGCUGUACCAAGGUGUGCACCCAACACCCAUCCCCCUCAUCACACUUGGUCCUUGGGGACUGUGCAGUUCUGUGUGUUGUUUGGGUGUCCCUAUGACAUCCCUGUCUCAUGAGUCUCUGUAUUUGUGCAUUUGUGUUGCCAGGCUAUGGUGAGGUCUGGAAGGGUCCCCAGCGCAGGAGUUUCUGUCCCCAUGGACAGCCUGGAAUGUGGGUGUUCACCAAGUUCUCUAAACUCUGUGUGGUAUGACUGAUCAUUAACUCGAUCUCUAUCUCCUCUCCAACUCGUGGAGGAUGGGGCUGAAAGUUUCAAGGUUCUACUCAUGAUUUGGUCUUUCUGGUGACCAGUCCCCAUCCUGAAGCUAUCCAGGAGUUGUCUCACUGAAAUGAAAGACAUUCCUAUCACCCAGAAAAUUCCAAAUGACUUAGGGGUUCUGUAUCAGGAACCAGGGUCAAAGACCAAGUAUUAGAACAAAAGAUGUUUCUAGUGCUCUCAUCACUUAAGAAAUUACAAGGGUUUUAGCAGCUCUGUGCCUGGAACUAGGGACAGAGACCAACAUAUGUUUUCUAUUAUUUCACAACUCACCUCACAGAGAUCUUUCCAAACAAAAGCUUUCCUUUGUACCAAGAGGUAUGUGCAAGGAUAUUCACAAUAGCAAACACCUGGAGACAGCUCAGGAAAGAGGACAGAUAAAUGGGCUUCUCCAUACAGUGGAGCAUUAUCUGCAGCCCCAUUAUCCUCUGUAUUAUGGAUGCAGUGAGAGAAAUGUCAUAAUUUACCCCACAGAAUACCCCCUUCCAUGAUUCAAGCCAUUUCCACAUGGUACCUUCUAGUUUCUCAGUGUAAGUGAGCCCUAAUUUCCUAGUGGAAACUAGCUCACAAAUGUAUUCCAAGUAACCAGCGUAAGUGCUUUUUGCCUCUGCUGUGCACAGAAUAUUUUCAUUUCCUCCAAACUGCCCUUUCAAACUAGUUCUGCAAAUAAGCUCCUCAUCCCCCAAUACCUGCCAUCUCUGGAAGAAAUGAAUGGAAAGCAUUUGCCCUUUUUUGGUAUUUAUUUGUCAAUAAAAUAGCAUUCUGAAACUUUCAGUCACCAAUCAUAUCAGGUCCAGUUUAGCUAUUAAUAUUUCCAGUGAAUUACAGAAAUAUAUCAUUUGAAUAUAAAGGUUCCCUUUUAUAGGCUAAGGCCUAUUUCUGGGUUUCUGCCUCUGCUCUCCACCUUUUUAGGUGCAUGUGGCCCAGUAAAGAUAAACUGUGUGGACAGAGGACAGGGGAGCAGGAGGGAAAGCAUCACUUGACCACUGGAAGCUGGUGUUUGUGUCCUGGAGUUGGACAUUCCUGGAUUUUAAAGAAUAAACACCAACAUUACACAUUCAUCCAUUUAUUGAGCAGAUUAUUUAUUGGUUAUUUGAAAUUUGUCAACCAAAUAUCAGUACCUGAGAUACUCUAGUGAACAAACUAAGAAAUUUCUCCUUAAACUUAUAUUUUAGCGAAGACAAUAGAUGGAAAAUAUAAUCAGGAAAGUAUAUGUUCUAAAUAGGGAAGUACUAUAGAAAUAUACAUAUUUGCAUACAUAUUUAUGUAUCAUUCCAUUGGGGCUGCACCCAAGGAAGCUUCUGGUGUGGAGGGAAUACCUCUGAAGGCAAUUUUCUGGUGAGUUCUCAGGUGGCGGUGGUAGGUGGACGACUGGCGGUACCUUCUAUGGCAGAGGGAACAUUCAUAGGGCUUCUCUCCUGUGUGGAUUCUCUCAUGUGCCAGAAGGUUGGUUUUGUGGCUGAAGGAUUUUUCACACGUGCUGCACGUGAAAGGCUUCUCUUCUGCAUGAAUCUUCUGAUGCACGUGUAGGUCUGAUGCUUGGAAGAAGCCUUUGUUACACUCAGCACAAGUAAAUGUCCUCUCGUUAUCGUGUCUUCUCUGAUGGGCUUUUAGCUGAGAGAAAUACCUAAAGAUCUUGGGACACUUUUCACAUCUGUAUGAGUUGUGGGCUUCAUGGCAUCUUCCUUGGUGUCCCCCACAUGUGGAGCUCCCCUCAGUUCUCUGGUGGGUAGGAACAGGCUCAGGGAUGACCUGGAUUGACUGAGAGAGAAACCCUGGUCCCCCCUCUAUAAGGACAUCUUGAUAUAAGGGUCCCUUCAGGGACCCUUCCUUGGACCUGGAUGUGCCUAGACCUGCUCUUCCAGAGCUGAGCAGAUUCUUCAAAGAAACACUGUCCUCUUCAAGCCUAGGACAGUCCUCUUCCUGGAUAAUGAGCAGGGAAGGUAUUUCAUUGCCUUCACUAGUAAUACUGUCAUUCAUGUGAUAAAUAUAGUCUCCAUUUUUUUUAUCUUUAUCUCCUGUGUGGGGAUAAAGUGACUCAGUGAAGUUGUACCCAAGAAUGAGUCCACACACAACAUCCCUCUAGUACCUUGGCUUACCCCACUCACCUUGUCCUGUUUCCAGGGAAGUUUCUUGGGGAAUCCAGGAGGGUGUCCCCAUGUUCUCUUCUGUUGGGGUCCUUGCUGGCAACUGUUUCAUGAAGUGAACAAUGACUUCUCUUAAGGGCAUAUUCUCAGAAAAGAGGGCUUCCUGCCCCUGCAUGUGGACGUGAACCUGUAAACAAAGCCUGAUCACUAUUGUAUAUGGAUCUGUUGAGUGCCAGAAGCCUUUGUGGAAGACCUGCUUUCAUGAGGCUUUCCCAAGAUCCCUCUACUACAUGCUGUCACACCCACUAUUCUGCCCUUAUCCCUGCUGGCCUUAAAAAUUCAUGGUAAUUUCUAAUUAGUGUGUCAUUUUCAAUGAGAAAAGACUAAUACUAGGGUGUUCUGAGGGAAGAAUGAGGUUGUGUGAAGUCAUUUCUCCCCAUUCUUGAGGUUUCUGCUCUAUUGUCAAUUUCUUUUUUUUUUUUUAAGAUUUUAUUUAUUUAU